UACGCUAAAGUGCGUUUCAGAGCUCUUCAGUGACUUGUGUUUACUGCGAAACAGAUUGGGCAUACGCUUCACCCGUGCAACUUCGUCAUGUGCUCCACGGCAGCACAAGCCUUUACGGCUGUGCCACUAUGUGUGGAAACGUCGUAGCGGAUGAAUGUGAAUUAUGGAUCUCCAAGUGGCGUCGCCCGCGUCAUUUUCAAGAUUUUACCCGUUUUGAAGGCAAUAGGGCUGUUGAUAGGGAGAAUGCGAGGCUACUGUAGACUGCAACC
Long non-coding RNA from Ornithodoros turicata, 269 nucleotides. RefSeq lists it as uncharacterized. Lineage: Eukaryota; Metazoa; Arthropoda; Arachnida; Ixodida; Argasidae. The transcript is spliced from 3 exons. The record is from RefSeq and is a predicted model, not a curated record.